This 1533-nucleotide long non-coding RNA is filed under the name Macaca fascicularis (crab-eating macaque). Its description in RNAcentral is "lncRNA (ENSMFAG00000058099.1)". The record is from RNAcentral. Lineage: Eukaryota; Metazoa; Chordata; Mammalia; Primates; Cercopithecidae.
UUUUUUUUUUUUUUUGGCCUCUGACCUUCUAGUUGACACAAAAUUAGUUACCUGUAGACUUAGGCAAAUGUGAUACCGCUCGUAGGCACGUGACCCUAACCCGUAUAAGCACUAAGAAAAUUGUAACACUUUGAGUUGGUCUGGUGGAAUUAUCUCUGACCUUCUCCCUGUAGCUGGUUACAGCAAUAAAUUCCCUUUUUUCCUAGUUUGUCUGCUUCUCAUUACUGGGCCAUGAGAAAACUCAGCCGGACUCAGUUUGGUUCCUGGAACAAGUCCACAGGGAACAACCUUUUUUGCUGAAAGUGAACUGUGGGCCCAGCUGUGUCUUGCUGCUGAGAACAUCGUGGGGACUGGUCUAGCCCUCUCAGCACCCUGGCCCGGUUCAGUCUCCUCUUCUGGGCAAAGAUGCCUUCAGCAUCUCAGGAGAGAUACAUUCCAUUGGCUAUUCAUUCCUGUGGAGUGGGUUCUCCUUCCUGACAGCUUCACCAAAAGUCUGGGAGUGGUGCCAGUUGCCACAGAUGGGCUACAGGCUCAUCCCUGAGUCAGCCACCAUGCAGAGUGAAGGGAGUUCAUGGUGGACACAGCCCUGAGCCGGGGGGUGGGGUCAGCCCUCGGGACCCAGGCACUGGGAAUGCCAGGCGGGGAAGAACACUUCUUAACUUCUAGUGGGAAGUGUAAAGUGGACAACCCUUUUGUGGACAAUUCAACUUCUUUCUUAAAUCGACCCCCUCGCACUGCUAAUAUAUACUCUCUUUUUUUCUUUGCUUAAGAAGAUGUAGUCCAAGCACUGCUGGGCAAAUACUUUGUUUCUUUGAUCUUCACAAGAAAAUUUCCUUUUGCACACACAAAAUAUAAAACCAAUAGUUCUUUUAUUCAUAUUUUUAGAAGUCGUUUUCUUAUUUUUAUUUUUUCAGGAGUGAAUUUCAAAAUGUUGAAAAGUCAUGUUCUCGUAUUUGGUUGUGAGCUCUUUAAAUAUAGUAAUUUAUGGAGGAGGAGGUCUAGUUGGGUGUUAGUCAAUAUUAUUUCAAAAUUAAUACAAAAUUAUUUAUUAAACAUUCCUGCACUAUGUGGGACACAAUAAUCGCAUCUAAGUGCAGCCGCCACUACCCUCCACUGGGCAGAACUCCUGGGCCUAAGGCUGUCUCUGUCAACUCCUGUUUCCUGGGGGCCCCGCCCUCAGGGGUUUUCCAGUAGAUGUGAAUGUUAUUUGCUCUAUUGUUAUAUCUAUUUUAUUAAAAGCAAAACUUCCUCAGUUUCCUACUAGCUUGCUUUUAGAAAAAGUUUCCAAAAUGUAUACCACAUUCCACUUAAGAGUUUUUUUCUGAGUUAGGAAAGGAAGCCCCCCUUCCGCUUGGUUCAGAAUUAGAGAGACACUCCCCUGUCCCACCUCACUGAAAUUCAUUUGUUUAUCUCAUUAUUUCAGCUGCAGUUUUCUAGAGAUAUGCAAACCACCAGAGUAAAAAUUAAGUGAGACUGUCCCCCAGCAAUUAAGGGGAGCAAGGUGGGGGAAGGGCAAGUGCAUUCAUGAGGGGA